GAUGAAGAACGCAGCAAAUUGCGAUAAGUAUUGUGAAUUGCAUUAUUAGUGAAUCAUCGAAUCUUUGAACGCAUCUUGCGCUCUGGGGCUAUUCCCCAGAGCAUGACUGUUUGAGGGUUGUGUAUAUCAUCAUCCCCCUCCGAGUGGAAACACUAUGGAGUGAUUUUUGGGUAUGGAUAUUGGCUUGUUGUAGGAAUCUUUGAUUUCUACUAAGCUGAAAAACAUCAGUGGCUGAUUUCCAAUUUCUGGUAGCACAUAGUAAUGGCGUUAUAGUUUAUAUUCGCUGAUACUUUAUGUACAACCAUAAGAUUUUGGAGCUAUAAAGGCCUCUUCGAAGUAACACACACUUUUAACUCUUCAACCUCAAAUCAGUUAGGACUACCCGCUGAACUUAAGCAUAUCAAUAAGCGGAGGA
This 415-nucleotide unclassified non-coding RNA is filed under the name soil metagenome. RNAcentral's name for it is "partial contains internal transcribed spacer 2 and large subunit ribosomal RNA". The stretch from base 1 to 120 matches the Rfam family "5.8S ribosomal RNA", at positions 35 to 154 of the family's 154-position model. The record is from RNAcentral.